AUGAUGCUUAGCAGAGAGCCUGGCAUAGCAGGUUUCGCAGUCACAGGAUGGGAUUGGAAACCAUUCACCUCUACUAUCAAUUCAGUACUUCCUAUUCCUUAUGGAAAAGUGCUUUCAGCUCAAGAAAGUGGCGGUACUCUUUGGCACUUCCAAGUUGGUAGCCAAAGGGACAUCAUAAGUCUUCUGAGAUUUAAGUUCCCAGGCCUGUCGACUUUCAGGCAACUCAGUAACCCAGCACCCAAAAAUCUUUUGUGUAAGAGCAGCAUCUCGCAUAUAGACCCAAACAGCAGGAUCCUAAAUCUGGCAGAUAAGAAAGCUGCUGGCAAAGGGGAUGUCCCCACCAAGAGGCACCCGGUGCUGCCAGCCGGGGUGAACACAGUCACCACGCUGGUGGAGAACAAGAAGGCCCAGCUGGUCAUGAUCGCGCACGACGUGGACCCCAUUGAGCUGGUGGUGUUCCUGCCCUCCCUGUGUCGCAAGAUGGGGGUUCCUACUGCAUCAUCAAGGGGAAGGCCAGGCUGGGGCGUCUGGUCCACAGGAAGACCUGAACCACGGUAGCCUUCACGCAGGUCAACUCGGAAGACAAAGGGGCUCUGGCGAAGCUGGUGGAAGCCAUCAGGACCAAUUACAAAGACAGAUACAACGAGAUCUGCCGCCACUGGGGAGUCAACGUCCUGGGUCCAAAGUCAGUGGCUCGCAUCGCCAAGCUGGAAAAGGCAAAGGCUAAAGAACUGGCCACCAAACGGGGCUGAGCGGACUCGGCUUGAUUUUCUGUACAUAAAAGUAAUAAAGUUGUCUUUCGGCCACUAAAAAAAAAAAAAAAA
RNA transcript from Enhydra lutris kenyoni (northern sea otter), 824 nucleotides. It is a transcript of the gene named 60S ribosomal protein L7a pseudogene, with no coding region annotated. NCBI's taxonomy places the organism in Eukaryota, Metazoa, Chordata, Mammalia, Carnivora, Mustelidae. The transcript has 3 exons. The record is from RefSeq and is a predicted model, not a curated record.